CACCUACGGGGAGCAGCAGUGAGGAAUAUUGGUCAAUGGGCGAGAGCCUGAACCAGCCAAGUCGCGUGAGGGAAGACUGCCCUAUGGGUUGUAAACCUCUUUUGUCAGGGAGCAACGCCGGCUACGUGUAGCCGGACUGAGAGUACCUGAAGAAAAAGCAUCGGCUAACUCCGUGCCAGCAGCCGCGGUAAUACGGAGGAUGCGAGCGUUAUCCGGAUUUAUUGGGUUUACAGGGUGCGUAGGCGGACUGCCAAGUCAGCGGUAAAAUCGCGGGGCUCAACAUCGCGCCGCCGU
Molecule: ribosomal RNA, 294 nt
Filed under: uncultured bacterium
Lineage: Bacteria
Description: partial 16S ribosomal RNA
Rfam family: Bacterial small subunit ribosomal RNA
Source: RNAcentral